Molecule: ribosomal RNA, 254 nt
Filed under: uncultured bacterium
Lineage: Bacteria
Description: partial 16S ribosomal RNA
Rfam family: Bacterial small subunit ribosomal RNA
Source: RNAcentral
CACGUAGGGCGCAAGCGUUGUCCGGAAUUAUUGGGCGUAAAGAGCUCGUAGGCGGUCUGUCGCGUCGGUCGUGAAAACUUGGGGCUUAACCCUGAGCUUGCGGUCGAUACGGGCAUGACUGGAGUUCGGCAGGGGAGACUGGAAUUCCUGGUGUAGCGGUGAAAUGCGCAGAUAUCAGGAGGAACACCGGUGGCGAAGGCGGGUCUCUGGGCCGAUACUGACGCUGAGGAGCGAAAGCGUGGGGAGCGAACAGG